This 186-nucleotide ribosomal RNA is filed under the name Chaetoceros affinis. Its description in RNAcentral is "partial Bacterial large subunit ribosomal RNA". It matches the Rfam family "Bacterial large subunit ribosomal RNA", at positions 1326 to 1516 of the family's 2925-position model. Lineage: Eukaryota; Bacillariophyta; Thalassiosirophyceae; Chaetocerotales; Chaetocerotaceae. The record is from RNAcentral.
AAACCCGCACGCCGGAAGACCAAGGGUUCCUGCGCAACGCUAAUCGGCGCAGGGUGAGUCGGCCCCUAAGGCGAGGCAGAAAUGCGUAGCUGAUGGGAAGCAGGUCAAGAUUCCUGCACCGGCGUGAAAUGCGAUGGGGGGACGGAUCGCGGAAGGUUGUCCGGGUGUUGGAAGUCCCGGUCGCUG